Molecule: ribosomal RNA, 484 nt
Filed under: uncultured bacterium
Lineage: Bacteria
Description: partial 16S ribosomal RNA
Rfam family: Bacterial small subunit ribosomal RNA
Source: RNAcentral
AUUGAACGCUGGCGGCAUGCUUUACACAUGCAAGUCGAACGGUAACAGGGUGCUUGCACCGCUGACGAGUGGCGAACGGGGGAGUAAUGCAUCUGAAUGUACCGUGUAAUGGGGGAUAGCUCGGCGAAAGCGGGAUUAAUACCGCAUACGCCCUGAGGGGGGAAGUGGGGGAGCGAAAGUCCGCACGUGAUAUGAGCAGCCGAUGUCUGAUUAGCUAGUUGGUGAGGUAAGGGCUCACCAAGGCGUCGAUCCGAAGCGGGUCCGAGAGGAUGAUCCGACACACGGGGACUGAGACACGGCCCAGACUCCUACGGGAGGCAGCAGUGGGGAAUUUUGGACAAUGGGCGCAAGCGUCAUCCAGCCAUGCCGCGUGUAUGAAGAAGGCCUUCGGGUGGUAAAGGACUGUUGUCCGGGAGGAAAUCCUACUGGUUCAUCUCCGCUGGGUCUGACGGUACCGGAAGAAUAAGCACCGGCUAACUACGUG